Molecule: ribosomal RNA, 478 nt
Filed under: uncultured bacterium
Lineage: Bacteria
Description: partial 16S ribosomal RNA
Rfam family: Bacterial small subunit ribosomal RNA
Source: RNAcentral
GACGAACGCUGGCGGCGUGCUUAACACAUGCAAGUCGAACGGUCAGGCCCUUCGGGGUACACGAGUGGCGAACGGGCGAGUAACACGUGGGUGAUCUGCCCUGCACUUCGGGAUAAGCCUGGUAAACUGGGUCUAAUACCGGAUAGGACUCCUGGCCUAAUGUCUGGGGGUCGAAAGCUUUUGCGGUGUGGGAUGGGCCCGCGGCCUAUCAGCUUGUUGGUGGGGUAAUGGCCUACCAAGGCGACGACGGGUAGCCGGCCUGAGAGGGUGACCGGUCACACUGGGACUGAGAUACGGCCCAGACUCCUACGGGAGGCAGCAGUGGGGAAUAUUGCACAAUGGGCGCAAGCCUGAUGCAGCGACGCCGCGUGAGGGAUGACGGCCUUCGGGUUGUAAACCUCUUUCAGCUAUGACGAAGCGCAAGUGACGGUAGUAGCAGAAGAAGGACCGGCCAACUACGUGCCAGCCGCCGCGGUAA